This 1872-nucleotide long non-coding RNA is filed under the name Populus trichocarpa (black cottonwood). RNAcentral's name for it is "long non-coding RNA (PTRI_LNC000203)". The record is from RNAcentral. Lineage: Eukaryota; Viridiplantae; Streptophyta; Magnoliopsida; Malpighiales; Salicaceae.
CUCUCUAUGCAUUCCCUAUCUCGUAUGCUCUCUAUCUCUAUAUCUAAGAGCAUCAACAACUAUUUAUAGCCAAGUAUGUGAGCUGUAGGGCACACCCAUGAUCUCCUAUUUUUCAGGACAUAGUGGGGCACUUUCUCCCCCAUGUUCUCCAUGAUCUCAGCAGCUUGGAGAGCACCCCAGUUAUGCCCCCAUGAUGCUGUCACUUCACCCACAUUCUGCCCCAUGAUCCCAUGAUCUAGGAAGACCAUGACUGCCACUAACCCACGUUUUGCAUGCCCACCUGGCAGCCCCAUCUGCCAGCUCUUGCUUCGUCAGCUGUUGAAUCACUCGUAUGCCUUGGACAGUCAUUCGUCCAAGUUUUAGAUCGUGCCAAGUCGAACCCAUGACUUGCACAAGUCGUUGCGCGCUGCCGAAUUCGCAUCUGCGUGCAGGCUGCCAAUUCCUGCGCUGCCGAAUUCCUCGACAACCUAUGCUGCUGACGAGUUUUCCUGCCUGGCUUGGACAUUCCAUCGUCAAGCCCAUGUUCGUCAACAAUCUGCGAUGCCGAUUUAUCCCCCUGUUGGCAUGGCUGCCAGCAACCUUAGGCACUGUUUUGGACAGCCUGCCGAAGUGUGCACCUCGUGCAUGUUUAACACUAUUACAAUCCACCCCCACCAAAAGAACCUGAUGCCCUCGUCAGACAGAUUCGAAGUACCCUCGCACCGUAUUUGUUCCUUGUCACAAUCCAUGUUUCUCCCACGAAACCUCUAGCUUUGCCCACAUUCAACAACAAUUCAGUCCAUCGAAUUUCGUCAACCUGUUUCAAAACCAAGUUGUGACACAUUCUGUUUUGGCUCGUUAGCUUUCCACAAAUGUCAAACACAUCAUACUCGCAAUCAUGUUUUCAUGAAGUCCAGACAUUAAUCGCAAGCGUCUCCAAAGUGUCCAUCCCUCUUCACGAAAUACAUCAACACAAAAUCACUUCGAAGAACCACAUGAGCUCCCAUACGAACAUCUAGUUCUCCAACCAUUCUGCGUGCCCCAAAAUUGCAAUUAUAAAAAUUUUAAAUAUUGUUUACUUGUCCGUCGUAUAGCAAUCAACUCUUCCUGCCGAAUUCGCCUCAGCCCAUGCAAGGCUGCCGCUGUCCAUCGCUGCCGAGUUCUAUGCAGUGUGCUUUUCGCUGGCGCAUCCUCACGCCUAGAGUUAAACCAUGAUCUGUCCAUCAUCAAAGUUAUCAGACUCCUCCAAUUCUGCCUCGCCUAAGGCAGUUUGGCCAUGCCUAAGUCCUCAUCAACUAGGCUGGCCCCUUGCCACUAACUCUUUUACUUAGUGUUAAGCACACGUAUAGGAUUUACGUAUGUCGUUCCUUCUCCAUCCUUCUCCACGGAAAUAACACUAAGUUGUGCUCUCAGCGGGCAGUCCCUUGCGACGUGCUUCCCCUCGUAAAUAAAACAGCCCGAACUUGAUUUCGAAACUUUUUCCUUGCCCUUGGCUUCUAACUUCCCGUUGCCAUCAGCCUGUUUAGGUCUCUCCCCCACCAAGCCCUUUCUUCUUCUUUUUCAUUUCGUACCUAUCCAUCAGUGGGUACGAAACAGAAGAUGCUCCAGUAGUCCCUUCGCUAGCGCCUGCUCUAAAAUCUGCCAACCCAUCAGCAGCCGAAAUGGCUGAAGACCAGUCUGAAACUUUCUGCCUACGCAACUCCAACUGUGCCCACGACUGAAGUCCUGACAGAAAAUUGAACAUUUUGUCCUCCUCGAACAUAUUAUCAUUAUCCAGAAUUAAAGAACUAAAUUUCUUCACGUAAUCCCUUACCGACCCAUCUUGCCGCAACUUUUUCAAGUCUUCCCUUGCAAUUCAGGACGUGUUGUUGGAUAGAAAUUGCUCUUUCAACU